Molecule: transfer RNA, 72 nt
Filed under: Toxocara canis (dog roundworm)
Lineage: Eukaryota; Metazoa; Nematoda; Chromadorea; Rhabditida; Toxocaridae
Rfam family: tRNA
About the family: Transfer RNA (tRNA) molecules are approximately 80 nucleotides in length. Their secondary structure includes four short double-helical elements and three loops (D, anti-codon, and T loops).
Source: Rfam by way of RNAcentral
CGGGAAGUAGCUUGGUGGCAAAGCUCCCACUUCAUAUGCGGGAAGACCUGGGUUCGAAUCCCGGCUGCUUAC